RNAcentral lists this transfer RNA (74 nucleotides) under Actinomycetota bacterium. Its description in RNAcentral is "Actinobacteria bacterium (freshwater metagenome) tRNA-Cys". It matches the Rfam family "tRNA". From Rfam's summary of the family: Transfer RNA (tRNA) molecules are approximately 80 nucleotides in length. Their secondary structure includes four short double-helical elements and three loops (D, anti-codon, and T loops). The record is from RNAcentral. Lineage: Bacteria; Bacillati; Actinomycetota.
GGUCGGAUGGCCGAGAAGCGAGGCUCGGGACUGCAAAUCCCUCUACACGGGUUCAAAUUCCGUUCCGACCUCUA